CAGUCUUAAAUCCGUCUGACCGUGUAGCUCAGUUGGUAGAGCGUCGAUCUAGUAAUUCGAAGGUCGCGGGUUCAAGACCCAGCCGCGGCAGACAACAUCUUUCUGCUUGCGCUGGGUGUGGAAAUUAUAUAAUACACACUCUAGAACAUUUUCAUCUUAACAUAUUACAGAGUGUACAAUUACACAAUUAACAUAACACUUGCAGAACUAGUAUUGUUCGAUGCUGAAUUAAUAUAAACGAGUAUGUUUAUGACAUUCAGUAUAUAUUUCAUAAUUUCCAGUCUUAAAUCCGUCUGACCGUGUAGAUCAAGUUAGAUCAGUUGGUAGAGCGUCGAUCUAGUAAUUCGAGGUCGCGGGUUCAAGACCCAACCGCGGCAGACAACAUCUUUCUGCUUGCGCUGGGUAUGGAAAUUAUAUAGUACACACUCUAGAACAUGACAAAUGCCAGUACUCUGCUCAGCCGACAAGACUUCAUAUGUGACAAACAGAACAG
This is a non-coding RNA of Paramuricea clavata, 493 nucleotides long. The record is from the annotation of a GenBank genome assembly. Lineage: Eukaryota; Metazoa; Cnidaria; Anthozoa; Malacalcyonacea; Plexauridae.